RNAcentral lists this unclassified non-coding RNA (390 nucleotides) under soil metagenome. Its description in RNAcentral is "partial contains 5.8S ribosomal RNA, internal transcribed spacer 2, and large subunit ribosomal RNA". The stretch from base 1 to 122 matches the Rfam family "5.8S ribosomal RNA", at positions 35 to 154 of the family's 154-position model. The record is from RNAcentral.
GAUGAAGAACGCAGCGAAAUGCGAUACUUGGUGUGAAUUGCAGAAUCCCGUGAACCAUCGAGUCUUUGAACGCAAGUUGCGCCCGAAGCCAUUAGGCCGAGGGCACGCCUGCCUGGGCGUCACACGUCGUCGCCCCCCCAUCUACUCCUUCGGGAUUGCGGGGGGCGGAUGAUGGCCUCCCGUGCGCCUCGUCGCGCGGUUGGCAUAAAUGCCAAGUCCUCGGCGACGCACGCCACGACAAUCGGUGGUUGCGAAACCUCGGUUGCCCGUCGUGUGCGGUCGUCGCGCAUCGAGGGCUCGAAAAAUUGCCGGGCUCCGGCUCGGCUUUCAACGCGACCCCAGGUCAGGCGGGGUUACCCGCUGAGUUUAAGCAUAUCAAUAAGCGGAGGA